AUGCAUAGGAAUCUACCUAGUAGUAUGGGAUAGCCACUGGAAAUGGUGGGUAAUACCGUAUAAUCCCCGCGGGGGAAAGAUUUAUCGCUAUUAGAUGAGCCUAUGUCGGAUUAGCUAGUUGGUGGGGUAAUGGCCUACCAAGGCAGUGAUCUGUAGCUGGUCUGAGAGGAUGAUCAGCCACACUGGAACUGAGACACGGUCCAGACUCCUACGGGAGGCAGCAGUGGGGAAUAUUGGACAAUGGGCGCAAGCCUGAUCCAGCUAUGCCGCGUGAGUGAGGAAGGCCUUAGGGUUGUAAAACUCUUUCAGUAGGGAAGAUAAUGACGGUACCUA
This 333-nucleotide ribosomal RNA is filed under the name Anaplasma phagocytophilum. Its description in RNAcentral is "bacterial SSU rRNA". It matches the Rfam family "Bacterial small subunit ribosomal RNA", at positions 113 to 481 of the family's 1533-position model. Lineage: Bacteria; Pseudomonadati; Pseudomonadota; Alphaproteobacteria; Rickettsiales; Anaplasmataceae. The record is from RNAcentral.